GACGAACGCUGGCGGCGUGCUUAACACAUGCAAGUCGAACGGAAAGGCCCUGCUUUUGUGGGGUGCUCGAGUGGCGAACGGGUGAGUAACACGUGAGUAACCUGCCCUUGACUUUGGAUAACUUCAGGAAACUGGGGCUAAUACCGGAUAGGAGCUCCUGCUGCAUGGUGGGGGUUGGAAAGUUUCGGCGGUUGGGGAUGGACUCGCGGCUUAUCAGCUUGUUGGUGGGGUAGUGGCUUACCAAGGCUUUGACGGGUAGCCGGCCUGAGAGGGUGACCGGCCACAUUGGGACUGAGAUACGGCCCAGACUCCUACGGGAGGCAGCAGUGGGGAAUAUUGCACAAUGGGCGGAAGCCUGAUGCAGCAACGCCGCGUGCGGGAUGACGGCCUUCGGGUUGUAAACCGCUUUCGCCUGUGACGAAGCGUGAGUGACGGUAAUGGGUAAAGAAGCACCGGCUAACUACGUG
Molecule: ribosomal RNA, 467 nt
Filed under: uncultured bacterium
Lineage: Bacteria
Description: partial 16S ribosomal RNA
Rfam family: Bacterial small subunit ribosomal RNA
Source: RNAcentral